Molecule: ribosomal RNA, 431 nt
Filed under: uncultured bacterium
Lineage: Bacteria
Description: partial 16S ribosomal RNA
Rfam family: Bacterial small subunit ribosomal RNA
Source: RNAcentral
AACGAACGCUGGCGGCAGGCUUAACACAUGCAAGUCGAGCGCCCCGCAAGGGGAGCGGCAGACGGGUGAGUAACGCGUGGGAACGUACCCUUAUCUUCGGGAUAGCUCCGGGAAACUGGAAUUAAUACCGAAUGUGCCCUUUGGGGGAAAGAUUUAUCGGAUAAGGAUCGGCCCGCGUUGGAUUAGCUAGUUGGUGGGGUAAAGGCCUACCAAGGCGACGAUCCAUAGCUGGUCUGAGAGGAUGAUCAGCCACAUUGGGACUGAGACACGGCCCAAACUCCUACGGGGAGGAGCCAGUGGGGAAAAUUGACAAAUGGCGCAAGGCCGAUCCCGCCAAGCCGCGGGAAGGAAGAAGGCCUUAGGGUUGGAAAACCCCUUCAACGGAGAAGAUAAUGGCCGGAACCGGAGAAGAAGCCCCGGCUAACUUCGUG